CACCCCCAAAAGCACAGCAAAGCAAACAAAGUGCAAAAGAUAUAGCAAGACACAAGUUCACAAACAAGCCAAAACAAACACAUCAUAAUAACGACUAGAAUUGAAAAUAAUAUAAAUAUUUUUUCCAAAUUUCUUCGCUCGUCUUCUUUAACUUCAGCUCGGAUCUAAUUCGAGGGAGCGAGAGAGGGAAAUAAAGGGGAAAUGCAUAUCCCAAGUUUAGCGAUGGAAAGAGGAUAUGUCGUAGUGAGAGUCUCUCAAAGAAACUCCAAUUUUGCUCCAAAAUUGUUCAUGCAAAGAAUGUAAAAAAAGAAGAAGAAGAGUUAGUAAGACAAAUCAACAAUGCUCAAUAUCAAAUAAAC
This 359-nucleotide long non-coding RNA is filed under the name Solanum tuberosum (potato). Its description in RNAcentral is "long non-coding RNA (STUB_LNC008155)". The record is from RNAcentral. Lineage: Eukaryota; Viridiplantae; Streptophyta; Magnoliopsida; Solanales; Solanaceae.